CCUACGGGCGGCAGCAGUGGGGAAUAUUGGGCAAUGGACGCAAGCCUGACCCAGCAACGCCGCGUGAAGGAUGAAGGCUUUCGGAUUGUAAACUUCUUUUCUGAGGGACGAAGCAAGUGACGGUACCUGAGGAGUAAGCCACGGCUAACUACGUGCCAGCAGCCGCGGUAAUACGUAGGUGGCAAGCGUUAUCCGGAUUUACUGGGUGUAAAGGGCGUGUAGGCGGUACAGCAAGUCAGAGGUGAAAACCACGGGCUCAACCUGGGGCCUGCAUUUGAAACUGUAGUUCUUGAGUACUGGAGAGGUAGACGGAAUUCCUAGUGGAGCGGUGGAAUGCGUAGAUAUUAGGAGGAACAUCAGUGGCGAAGGCGGUUUGCUGGACAGUAACUGACGCUGAGGCGCGAAAGCGUGGGGAGCAAACAGGAUUAGAUACCCGGGUAGUC
This 443-nucleotide ribosomal RNA is filed under the name uncultured bacterium. RNAcentral's name for it is "partial 16S ribosomal RNA". It matches the Rfam family "Bacterial small subunit ribosomal RNA", at positions 338 to 795 of the family's 1533-position model. The record is from RNAcentral.